Molecule: long non-coding RNA, 761 nt
Organism: Eucalyptus grandis
Lineage: Eukaryota; Viridiplantae; Streptophyta; Magnoliopsida; Myrtales; Myrtaceae
Exons: 5
Source: RefSeq, a predicted model, not a curated record
UCGAUGGAGUCAACCAUAUCCAAGACUCUCUCUCUCUCUCUCUCUCUCUCUCUAUAUAUCCUCAUCUCCCUCCUCCGUCAAUCCCUUCGUCUCCUCCGGCUCUCGCAAGGUUCCGCUUGCAGGAAUGACUUGUGGGGGAUGUGCAGCGAGCUUGAAGAGAUUUCUGGAAUAUCAAGUAUCCGCCGCAAGGGUCAAUCUUACAACUGAGACAGCAAUUGUAUGGCUUGUUUCUGAAGCCAAAGCUAUACCUAAUUGGCAGGAGUUGGCGAUAAACACUUGCAAAAAACUCACACAAAUUGUGGCUUAAGUCUAAGCAUGGUUUGCUCUAAACAUUGGACAGCCACAAGUAUCUGCCACCAGCGUCAAUCUGACAACCAGGAUAGCAGUUGUACGGCCAGUAUCUGAAGCCAAGGAUGGCAAAAAGUGUUGGGAGAAACACUUGCAGAAGACUUGACAAAUUUUGCCUUUAUGUCUAACCCUCGACGGGGUGGUUGACAAGUUCUCUGGAUGCUCUCGUGGAUUUGGUUAUGAGAAGCAAGCAAUGGAUGAGGCUAUUGAGGAAAUGAAUGGACUUAUCAUUGAGGAAAAAGUUCAGCCUCAAGGUUCAGGUAGUGGCUGAGAUGGUGAUCGCAGUCGUGAUUGUGGUCAUGAUUGUGGCCCCAAUCGGGACUAUGGUGGUGGACAUGGAUGUGGAGGUGGAGAGUGCUUUAAGUGUGACAAGCCUGGGCAUUUUGCAAGGGAGUGUCCUCAUGAAGGGGGCU